RNAcentral lists this long non-coding RNA (1195 nucleotides) under Gouania willdenowi (blunt-snouted clingfish). RNAcentral describes it as "lncRNA (ENSGWIG00000018522.1)". Lineage: Eukaryota; Metazoa; Chordata; Actinopteri; Blenniiformes; Gobiesocidae. The record is from RNAcentral.
CUGUCGGUCAAUGCUAGGCAUUGUGUAGGUCCUACACAAGAUGAAACGCCCCCUCUCACUUCCGGUUUUGUUUUUCGGGAAGGCAACUCUCUUGAUUUGUUUUUGUCGGGGCGGAGCUUUGCUGUUGAACUUGUUAAUGUUGUCGCAGUGAUAUAAUACUGCAUCAUGAAGACGCCCUCCUCCCCCGGGCUGGACGCAGAUGCUGUAAACGAAGCAGAAAGAAGUCAUGGGGAAUAAAAGGAAGAGGAAGGAAGCCGUCUGAGCCGCCCAAUCUCAACAUAAUCUUCCACUGCAGCAAGUGUCGCAAUAAAAAAGGUCUGCCUGAGACUUUUUAAGAGCCAUGAACCGAGAGCCUCGCAGAGACAAGAUCAGGCCCUGCUACUUUAGCAGCGUGACGAGCAUGUCAGGAUCAAAGCUGCCCGCUGGAGUCUCGCAGCCUCCGCAGUUUGCCAAGCGGCCUUGGGAGACUCAAACCCGACCGGGGCAGGAGGCCAUGGUCGGCGGCCAGCGUCAGCACCAGACCAUCGUGUGCCGACCUCUCAACCAUAUCCCUCACAUCAGAAACGCCAAACUCCGCCAGUACUACCUGCAAGGGACUUCAUGGGAUCUCGGUAAUGCUGUAGUGACAAAGGAGCACGCAGGCGAAAAGUCAGAUGACAGUCGCAGCGACAGGGGUGGCACUGGAGACUCUGUUUUUGGCGUCUCAUCAAAGUUGAAUAUAGCACUGUCGGCAAAAGACAGCACAAUGGGACACAACCCCUCCCACACGUCCUCAUCUGCCCCCCUCAUCCAGAGACGGGUGAGAGUGUCGCUUUGUUUUCUGUGCAUGUAAAGGAGGAAGGUGAAACCUGCUGCUAUUUGUUUACAAUGCAAAUCAAGACGUGACGUGCGCCACAUUUUAACUUUAGUAACAAUUUUAGUCAAACAAGUAUCGUAAAUAUCAUUUACACACGUGUCAAACCUAAGACCCGGGGGCUAAAUCCGGUCCUUUAGAUCAUCAAAUUUGGCACUCAGGAUAGAUUCGAAAUGACAAAACAUUAAUUAUUGUGUAAAAAUUCUCAAUAAUUCAUCUGUAGAUAUCUCAACCCUUUCAAAUACAUAAAUUCAAUGAAUAUCCACAAUAUUUGCGGGGAUGCACACUUUUCCCAUGCUUUUAUCAUGUAAUGAUAGUCAAUUGUGCCAAAAAUAAUAAUGC